UGCGGUGACUAAAUCGAGGCCGAGAA
RNAcentral lists this non-coding RNA (26 nucleotides) under Homo sapiens (human). The record is from RNAcentral. Lineage: Eukaryota; Metazoa; Chordata; Mammalia; Primates; Hominidae.